Acinonyx jubatus (cheetah) is the source of this 566-nucleotide long non-coding RNA. RefSeq lists it as uncharacterized. The transcript is spliced from 3 exons. NCBI's taxonomy places the organism in Eukaryota, Metazoa, Chordata, Mammalia, Carnivora, Felidae. The record is from RefSeq and is a predicted model, not a curated record.
CCAGAGAAAGAACGUCCCUGUGCGGGACCCUAAGCCUCAUGGUGGCACAGCCGGUGGGCUGGCUCCCGCUCCUGAGCUCCUGAGCCAUAGACCUGUCCCCUGCGGGCUUCAGCUCUGCUUCCGGGCAGCCGGCUCAGCCCAUUCUUUUCUGUUCUUAGCUCCAGUAGACCGUACCCGGGAGGCAACAGCAAAGCUUGGGAGUGGGACCCGGUGAAGGUCACCUCUGGGCCUGAAUGUGAUGCUCUAGCUACAGGACGGUGAUGGCACCGUGGACGAGGACCCCAACGACGACCGUCUCUGCGCGUCCUGCGUCAACAUUUGUGCCUCCGACUCCCGGGGGGCAACCUUUCCCGCGGCAGGAAAACCGAAAUCGGUGGCAGUCUAUGCGAAGUAGAAACGCACAGAGAUGGCCAUUUCCCGUCUGCUGGCCAGGGGAGUUGACCCUGCAGCCUUCCCACUGCAUGAACUGGAGAUGACCCAAGCUCAGCUCUCUCCCACUGCUGGGGCAUCAGGAGGGAACCCUGCAGCCCUCCCUCCUUUCAUCUGCCUGGGGCCCUUUGACCCGC